Long non-coding RNA from Helianthus annuus (common sunflower), 1041 nucleotides. RefSeq lists it as uncharacterized. The transcript has 4 exons. NCBI's taxonomy places the organism in Eukaryota, Viridiplantae, Streptophyta, Magnoliopsida, Asterales, Asteraceae. The record is from RefSeq and is a predicted model, not a curated record.
CAGAUCCAAAUGCCUUUAGAAGUUCAUCAAUGGCUCGAAUGAAGCUCUAAUUUGGACAAGUGAUGAUUGACGAUGAUAGUAGCUUGGGUGGUGGUUUUGGAAGGAUUGGGUGCCGGUCUACCAUGUUUGGAUGCAACUGGAGGUUGUUUGGUCAGUUAUGGAAUACAUUGCUGGAGGAGAGCUAUUUGACAAGUUUGUAGCGCAACGCUUCAGUGACCAUGAGGUAAGUAUUCUUGAUUAUGUCUAAUGGAGGUCUGAACAAGCCAACGGUUCAUAAUCAUUUAUCUCUUGGCGAUUCGAUUGACUUUGUGAAGGUUUAAGAGGUAAUUUAAUUAGUUUUUUUUUAAUUGAUCAAUGCUAACUUCUUUUGAUUUUGAGUUCUUUAAUUUAGGGUAUAAUAUUUUAAAUGAAGUUUCACUCAGUGAUUCAGUGUUAUUAAGUUUAGUGUUUGAUAUGUUAAAACGAAAGUUUGAUUUUGGUGAUUCAGUGUUCUUUAAUUCAAGGUUACAUAUUUUUAACGAGGUUUAAUUUUGGUGCAUCAGUUGCAGGCUCUGCUGAGUUGCAGGGCUCUGCUGCAAUUGUUAAUUCCUUGGUCAUCUGCUGCAAUAGUUCAGCAUGAAGCUCAUUUUAAUUUAUCAUUUUAUAUGAGAUGUCAAAAAGAUUGUUUAACAUGCUUUCUUCAAUUUCAAUUUUCUAUAUUGUAUAUGAGGACUCAGUAAAGUCAAACCGUGGAAGCAAACCUUUAGGAAAUUACUAUAGAAAGAAAAAAGAUGAGUUAAAGAUCGGGGACCAGCCGUAAAUUACUAUAGUGAGAAAAAUUGAAGGCGCAAUUGCGAGAAGAGGGUAGUAGUGGCGGACAAAGACUAUGAUGCUUCAGUAUUUUAAUGGCACCGUUGCCAUCAGCGAUCCUGAAUCACCAGUAUCGACUUCAUUUUCAUGUUUUAAUUUAGCUCCCAGGUGCCAUCCUUGCGCAAGAAAGUUCACAUGGCCAAAAGUUACGGACAAGUCAACUGUCCCCACAAUAUUUUUGACUGGUUAACG